CGGACGGGUGAGUAACGCGUGGAUAACCUGCCGUAUGCAGGGGGAUACCAACUGGAAACAGUUGCUAAUACCGCAUAAGCGCACAGUACCGCAUGAUAUAGUGUGAAAAGAUUUAUCGGCAUACGAUGGAUCCGCGUCCGAUUAGCCAGUUGGCGGGGUAGAAGCCCACCAAAGCGACGAUCGGUAGCCGGCCUGAGAGGGCGGACGGCCACAUUGGGACUGAGACACGGCCCAAACUCCUACGGGAGGCAGCAG
This 255-nucleotide ribosomal RNA is filed under the name uncultured bacterium. RNAcentral's name for it is "partial 16S ribosomal RNA". It matches the Rfam family "Bacterial small subunit ribosomal RNA", at positions 99 to 354 of the family's 1533-position model. The record is from RNAcentral.